AAAGCUAAUGUGAAAUGACACUAGAGUUAGUGUGAUGUAAAGAAUUAAAGUGAUGUAAAGAAUGAUGAAAAUAACGACGAGUAAAGCUAAAGUAAAGUGGGCAAUAAGAACAAGAAUGCUAGAGUUAGCAAAAGUAAAAGAAAUGCAAAGAACAAUGAUUGCUAGAGUUAGCAAGAGUAAUGAGAAUGUAAAGAAUGUGAUUGCAUGAGUUUGCAACAUAAAGUGAUGUAAAGAACACUAGAGCUAGUGUAAAGUCAAGAUUGAACUAUAAUCCUUUGAGUUAAGGAUAUGAUCAUACUUGCUGUUGAGUUCCGU
This 315-nucleotide long non-coding RNA is filed under the name Ananas comosus (pineapple). RNAcentral's name for it is "long non-coding RNA (ACOM_LNC044171)". The record is from RNAcentral. Lineage: Eukaryota; Viridiplantae; Streptophyta; Magnoliopsida; Poales; Bromeliaceae.